RNAcentral lists this ribosomal RNA (152 nucleotides) under Tuber sinoaestivum. Its description in RNAcentral is "5.8S ribosomal RNA". The stretch from base 63 to 152 matches the Rfam family "5.8S ribosomal RNA", at positions 1 to 90 of the family's 154-position model. Rfam says of the family: 5.8S ribosomal RNA (5.8S rRNA) is a component of the large subunit of the eukaryotic ribosome. It is transcribed by RNA polymerase I as part of the 45S precursor that also contains 18S and 28S rRNA. The record is from RNAcentral. Lineage: Eukaryota; Fungi; Ascomycota; Pezizomycetes; Pezizales; Tuberaceae.
ACCACCGGAGCAUGGACUGUCUGAUCUGGGCCACACUGGACCCCCAAAGCUUGACAAGUUAAAACUUUCAACAACGGAUCUCUUGGCUCUCGCAUCGAUGAAGAACGCAGCGAAAUGCGAUAGGUAAUGUGAAUUGCAGAACUCAGUGAAUC